This 424-nucleotide long non-coding RNA is filed under the name Vigna radiata. Its description in RNAcentral is "long non-coding RNA (VRAD_LNC001787)". The record is from RNAcentral. Lineage: Eukaryota; Viridiplantae; Streptophyta; Magnoliopsida; Fabales; Fabaceae.
CAUAAGCAAGAGGAGGAGAAGAAGCUAGAGCUAGUAAUGAUGGCAAAAGUUGAAGCGCGACAAAGAUGAUGUAGAGGUGAUGCAGAGAGAGUAGUUGUGGUGGUAGCUAAAGUUGGAGAAGGAAGAAGAAGAAGUAGUAGUAGAAGAAUGAAAAGAGGAGGAAAGGAGAAAGAGGAGAGGAGAAUAUAAGCCAAAGGUGACCAUAGUGACAAUGGAUGUGCAACAAGAUUAAGAGGAAGAAGGGAAAAAGAAGAAAAAGAAAAAAAAAAACACAAUUGCAAGUUUUACCAACAAAUUUUAUCAACAACCAAAAUUCAUCGAUAGUUAAUGAUAAAUAUUUAUUGAAUAAUUUAAUAACAUAUAUGUGGUUGUAAAAAAUUACUGACAAAUAAUUUAUGGAUUAAAUUUAUUAUCGAAAGAUUUA